This 393-nucleotide ribosomal RNA is filed under the name uncultured bacterium. RNAcentral's name for it is "bacterial SSU rRNA". It matches the Rfam family "Bacterial small subunit ribosomal RNA", at positions 29 to 449 of the family's 1533-position model. The record is from RNAcentral.
AACGAACGCUGGCGGCAGGCCUAACACAUGCAAGUCGAGCGCUCACUUCGGUGGGAGCGGCGGACGGGUUAGUAACGCGUGGGAACAUACCCUUCUCUACGGAAUAGCCUCGGGAAACUGAGAGUAAUACCGUAUACGCCCUUCGGGGGAAAGAUUUAUCGGAGAUGGAUUGGCCCGCGUUAGAUUAGAUAGUUGGUGGGGUAAUGGCCUACCAAGUCUACGAUCUAUAGCUGGUUUUAGAGGACGAUCAGCAACACUGGGACUGAGACACGGCCCAGACUCCUACGGGAGGCANCANUGGGGAAUCUUAGACAAUGGGCGAAAGCCUGACCUANCCAUGCCGCGUGAGUGAUGAAGGCCUUAGGGUCGUAAAGCUCUUUCGCCAGGGAUGAU